Molecule: ribosomal RNA, 321 nt
Filed under: uncultured bacterium
Lineage: Bacteria
Description: bacterial SSU rRNA
Rfam family: Bacterial small subunit ribosomal RNA
Source: RNAcentral
AACGAACGCUGGCGGCAUGCCUAACACAUGCAAGUCGAACGAGAAAGUUCCUUCGGGGGCGAGUAGAGUGGCGCACGGGUGAGUAACACGUAGGUGACCUGCCUAUUUGUGGGGGAUAACAUCGGGAAACCGGUGCUAAUACCGCAUAAGCUCAACGACUUUGGAAGGAGUUGAGGAAAGAUGGCCAAUCCUUGGAAGCUAUCGCAGAUAGAGGGGCCUGCGGGCCAUUAGUUUGAUGGUGGGGUAACGGCCUACCAUGGCGAUGAUGGCUAGCUGGUCUGAGAGGAUGAUCAGCCACACUGGCACUGAGACACGGGCCAG